AGCGAACGCUGGCGGCAGGCCUAACACAUGCAAGUCGAACGAACUCUUCGGAGUUAGUGGCGGACGGGUGAGUAACCCGUGGGAACGUGCCUUUUGGUUCGGAAUAACUCAGGGAAACUUGUGCUAAUACCGAAUGUGCCCUUCGGGGGAAAGAUUUAUCGCCAUUAGAGCGGCCCGCGUCUGAUUAGCUAGUUGGUGAGGUAACGGCUCACCAAGGCGACGAUCAGUAGCUGGUCUGAGAGGAUGACCAGCCACACUGGGACUGAGACACGGCCCAGACUCCUACGGGAGGCAGCAGUGGGGAAUCUUGCGCAAUGGGCGAAAGCCUGACGCAGCCAUGCCGCGUGAAUGAUGAAGGUCUUAGGAUUGUAAAAUUCUUUCACCGGGGACGAUAAUGACGGUACCCGGAGAAGAAGCCCCGGCUAACUUCGUG
This 433-nucleotide ribosomal RNA is filed under the name uncultured bacterium. RNAcentral describes it as "partial 16S ribosomal RNA". It matches the Rfam family "Bacterial small subunit ribosomal RNA", at positions 29 to 507 of the family's 1533-position model. The record is from RNAcentral.